This 2451-nucleotide long non-coding RNA is filed under the name Homo sapiens (human). RNAcentral's name for it is "non-protein coding lnc-AMPH-6:4". The record is from RNAcentral. Lineage: Eukaryota; Metazoa; Chordata; Mammalia; Primates; Hominidae.
ACUUAUCUCUGCCUGUGAAUCAGGAAGACCAGCUCCUCCUACUGUCUUCUGUGUUAGGGAUCACUUCCUUGUUGAGUGGGACCUGAGUUUUGAGAGGGUCUUCUGCUCCUCUUCGUCUGGUCCCUUACUUCCAAGACCCCAGAGAGGAAGGCAUGCUGUUGGCUCUAGCUCUGCUUCUAGCUUUCCUGCCUCCUGCCAGUCAGAAAUCUUCCAACUUGGAAGGGAGAACAAAGUCAGUCACCAGGCCAACUGGGUCAUCAGCUGUAAUCACUUGUGAUCUUCCUGUAGAAAAUGCCGUCUACACCCACUGGUACCUACACCAGGAGGGGAAGGCCCCACAGCGUCUUCUGUACUAUGACUCCUACAACUCCAGGGUUGUGUUGGAAUCAGGAAUCAGUCGAGAAAAGUAUCAUACUUAUGCAAGCACAGGGAAGAGCCUUAAAUUUAUACUGGAAAAUCUAAUUGAACGUGACUCUGGGGUCUAUUACUGUGCCACCUGGGAUAGGCACAGUGAUUCAGACCUGUGCUACACCACACUGAAAAUCUGCCUUGUGACUACUCCUGGUACACAAGAUAGACCAGCCUCAUCUCAUUUCCUGCCCAUGAAUUCACUGUAUUCUGUACAAAGAGAAACACAGCUUAACUCCUCAUCUCUCCCCUAAUAUCACACUCCCCUGGCGGCAGCUGCACCCUGUUCUCCACCCCACCCUCAUGAGUUACCUAAAGACCAAACUACAAUCUCCCAGCUGUGUCAGCCAAGCAGCCUUGCUGACAGCAAAGUUCUUUCAGCUCUUCUAUGGGCUGGUGGAGACCCAUUCCACCUGCUUCCUAAGACAGACAAAUUCCUCAAGGACUGGUCUGUAAAGGGAUUCAUUUAGGAGACUAUAUGGGAAGACUAGCUUCACUCAAGCAUUUAUCCAAUUAUUGUCUAUAGGCUAAAAUAGUGCUUAUUCAUUGCUCAGGAUAAAUGUUGGAAUAACAACUUUGCACUUCAGUAAGACAUCUAACGUGUAUCAGAUCUGCUAUCUUUUGGACACACUGACAUUUUUUUCUACAUAACAAAUCAUGGUACUAUUGGUCUGCAGGAGAAUGGGUAAAAAAGUGAUAGUCAUAGGUACGCCAACUUGUGGGUCAUAUCAUAGGUUUUCAACCAUUUCAAGCAUCCCUGCCCUAAUGCAAGUAUCUGAAGGAUCUGACCCUUGCCCUGCAGCAGAAUUCAUUCCAUGUCCCCUCUGGAUAUUAGACUGAUAAUUUGGAUCAGGUCUCAGCAUGGGCCAUUGAGGAACACUACAGCCCUGCUGAGAGAUAAAAAGGAUUAUCCACUCAAGGAGUUCACACCUCCGGGCCGACAUGGAGAACGUGCCUAGAAGCAGACUUGGAGGGUGCUCAGUGGUGGGUUGUGGAAUGUAAGCCUGAAGAAGCAGAGUUUAAUUCUACGGGGGUGCUUUCAUAAUUUAGUACCCUGACAGGGCUCCUGGUGUUGGUCCUUAGACACUCCUGGGAUGGCUCCCUGGAAACAUGGAGGAAACCUUGGUCGCAUGACAUGAUACGGAGAUGUUGGAGCUGCCUGGACACAGUUACAGAGGGAGGCAUUAAAAGGCUUCGAGAGGUCUUAGAAAAUGACUCUUCCUGUCUCAAAAUGCAGUCCUUCAUUCUGAUUGAUGAAUUGGAAGCACAUGGCUGGUGUAAAGAAUAAGAAACUAAUUAUAAGCCAGGAAACAGCAGGAGAAGAAAGCAGAGAAGCAACGCUUACCCUGAAGAAUUAAUUUCCGUUUAGAAAAUAUCACAGCUGAUGUGUCAAAGGCCCCGGUAUGCAGGAAUGAGAUUAAACAAAUGUGGUCAUGAGGAAGAGGUUUCUGAAUAAUGAUAGAGAAGCUUGAGUCUACAAGAAAUCCAGAGUCCAGAAUACUGCAGGGGAGCAGUGCUGGGUUCAUGUUUAUCUGGUCUCUUGUCUAUUGGAUCCUCUUUCUUCCAGAACCCUAAACCUUGAAUCAGCCUUAUAGUCCUGGCUCCUAGAAGAGUGUUUCUCAAAGUGUACUCCACGGACCACCUGGAUAAGAAGCACGUGAGGCUUUUAAUUAAAAAAAAAAAAAAAAGUACAGGUUCUGGGAAGCAUCCAACACAAUAAGACAGAAUCUUGGAAUGAAGGGUGAAAAUGUGCAUUUUAAAAUAACCUCCAGAGCUGAUUCUUAUUCAAACUGACUUUUAAAAACUGCUGCACUAGUGGCAAGAGAUCGAGGGGCUGUCCUGAGCCUGACACAGAAAGGUGUUCUAGAAAGCUGCUCACAGGCUCCUUCGCAGCCCACCAAAUCCGCCUCACUCUUAUCUCCCCCAGCCCCUCAAAGCAGCUGCUUUGACAGUUUCUCACAUUUUUGCAUGAUAAUCCCACAACUGCAAUUCCUUCUGGCUUCCUGUGACCUCACGCAAGAAAAAGUUGUGUACUAAAUGAAU